GACGAACGCUGGCGGCGUGCUUAACACAUGCAAGUCGAACGGAAAGGCCCUGCAUUUGUGGGGUGCUCGAGUGGCGAACGGGUGAGUAACACGUGAGUAACCUGCCCUUGACUUUGGGAUAACUUCAGGAAACUGGGGCUAAUACCGGAUAGGAGCUCCUGCUGCAUGGUGGGGGUUGGAAAGUUUCGGCGGUUGGGGAUGGACUCGCGGCUUAUCAGCUUGUUGGUGGGGUAGUGGCUUACCAGGGCUUUGACGGGUAGCCGGCCUGAGAGGGUGACCGGCCACAUUGGGACUGAGGUGCGGGCCAGACUCCUACGGGGGGCAGCGGUGGGGAAUAUUGCACACUGGGCGGAAGCCUGAUGCAGCAAUGCCGCGUGCGGGAUGACGGCCUUCGGGUUGUAAACCGCUUUCGCCUGUGACGAAGCGUGAGUGACGGUAAUGGGUAAAGAAGCACCGGCUAACUACGUG
This 468-nucleotide ribosomal RNA is filed under the name uncultured bacterium. RNAcentral describes it as "partial 16S ribosomal RNA". It matches the Rfam family "Bacterial small subunit ribosomal RNA", at positions 28 to 507 of the family's 1533-position model. The record is from RNAcentral.